This 1165-nucleotide ribosomal RNA is filed under the name uncultured bacterium. Its description in RNAcentral is "bacterial SSU rRNA". It matches the Rfam family "Bacterial small subunit ribosomal RNA", at positions 28 to 1180 of the family's 1533-position model. The record is from RNAcentral.
AGGGAGUGGCGGCGUGCUUACCAUGCAGUCGAACGCGAAAGGGGCUUCGGUCCUGAGUAGAGUGGCGCACGGGUGAGUAACGCGUAGAUAACCUGUCCUGGUGUCUGGAAUAAUAUCUCGAAAGGGGUGCUAAUACCGGAUAUUCUUGCUUUCUAUAAGGUAUGCAAGGAAAGGUGGCCUCUGGAACAAGCUACUGCACGAGGAGGGGUCUGCGUACCAUUAGCUAGUAGGUGGGGUAAUGGCCUACCUAGGCGACGAUGGUUAGCGGGUCUGAGAGGAUGAUCCGCCACACUGGUACUGAAACACGGACCAGACUCCUACGGGAGGCAGCAGUGAGGAAUAUUGCGCAAUGGGGGCAACCCUGACGCAGCGACGCCGCGUGAGUGAGGAAGGCCUUCGGGUCGUAAAGCUCUGUCAAAGGGGAAGAAGUGCAUGGUGGUUAAUAUCUGUCAUGUUUGACGGUACCCUUAAAGGAAGCACCGGCUAACUCCGUGCCAGCAGCCGCGGUAAUACGGAGGGUGCAAGCGUUGUUCGGAAUCACUGGGCGUAAAGGGCGCGCAGGCGGUUUGAAUAGCCAGAUGUGAAAGCCCACGGCUUAACCGUGGAAGUGCAUUUGAAACUGUCAGACUUGAGUACCAGAGGGGAAAGUGGAAUUCCCGGUGUAGAGGUGAAAUUCGUAGAUAUCGGGAGGAAUACCGGUGGCGAAGGCGACUUUCUGGCUGGAUACUGACGCUGAGGCGCGAAAGCGUGGGGAGCAAACAGGAUUAGAUACCCUGGUAGUCCACGCUGUAAACGAUGUGCACUAGAUGUAGGGGGUGUUGAUCCCUUCUGUGUCGCAGCUAACGCAUUAAGUGCACCGCCUGGGGAGUACGGUCGCAAGAUUAAAACUCAAAGGAAUUGACGGGGGCCCGCACAAGCGGUGGAGUAUGUGGUUUAAUUCGAUGCAACGCGAAGAACCUUACCUGGUCUUGACAUCCCGGAGACCCUUAGAAACUAGGGGUGCUUCCAUUAGAGAAUCUGGAGACAGGUGCUGCAUGGCUGUCGUCAGCUCGUGUCGUGAGAUGUUGGGUUAAGUCCCGCACGAGCGCACCCUUGCUUUAGUGCAGCAGUUCGCUGGGCACCUCUAAGGGACUGCCGGUGUUUAACCGGGAGAAGGGUGGGGGAU